RNAcentral lists this long non-coding RNA (553 nucleotides) under Zonotrichia albicollis (white-throated sparrow). RNAcentral's name for it is "lncRNA (ENSZALG00000000209.1)". Lineage: Eukaryota; Metazoa; Chordata; Aves; Passeriformes; Passerellidae. The record is from RNAcentral.
CCCUGGGGACAGGUGACAAUGGCAGGUGCCACCUCAGGUGUGCCCAGGUGCCACCAGGUGUGCCCAGGUGCCACCAGACCUGUCCAGGUGCCACCAGGUGUGCCCAGGUGCCACCAGGUGUGUCCAGGUACCACCAAACCUGUCCAGGUGCCACCAGGUGUGCCCAGGUGCCACCAAACCUGUCCAGGUGCCACCAGGUGUGUGCCCAAGUGCCACCUCAGGUGUGUCCAGGUGCCACCAAACCUGUCCAGGUGCCACCUCAGGUGUGCCCAAGUGCCACCUCAGGUGUGCCCAGGUGCCACCAGGUGUGCCCAGGUGCCACCUCAGGUGUGCCCAGGUGCCACCAGGUGUGCCCAGGUGCCACCAAACCUGUCCAGGUGCCACCAGGUGAGUUCCCAGCUGUUCCCAGGUGCCACCAGGUGUGUCCAGGUGUGCCCAGCUGUUCUCAGCUGUGCCCAGGUGUCCCCAGGUGUGUCCAGGUGCCACCAGGUGUGUCCAGCUCUCCCCACAUAUGUCUCCAGGUGCCACCAGGUGAGUUCCCAGCUGUCUCCAG